GACUGCCUGAGGGAAUGGCAUGAAGCUGCGUCAGUGGAAGUUAAGGUUGGGUGUUAGGAAAAGGUUCUUCACUACAGACAGAACUACAACAGGCUCCCCAGUCUGCCUUCUACAGACUCUUAUCUCCUGGUCCUGCAUUUCCAAAUGUGUCUCCCAUGGGACUCUCAUACAGAGAGGCGAGAAGAGAACAGAUCCAAGGAUAAGCAGUGUUGAAAGGGAUUUUCCAGGAGGAGGUAUUCACCACUGAAGUAUUUGGAUCCUGCAGCUGCAGGUUUAGAAGCUGGAGAGUGCCCAGAUGUUUCCAGCUUUUGUCAGUUCCUGCGUUGGAUGACUGCCCCAGCUCCUACAGCCAACACAUUGCCCUUCCUCUUUUGGGUAGUAAAGUAAAAGGGUAUUGUUUCUGCUGGGCUUGCUUUUGAAAGCAAAAGGAGCAGGAAAAAAUAGUGUAUUUUGAAAAAUAUUGUGUAUAAGGCUCUCUUAUGCCCUUAUAUAGAAAAGAGAUAUUCAAGAGUGCUUGAAACACACAGAACAGUUGAAUGAGGAUGGGACAGACUCUGAAAUGUGGUUGCAGGAUGUGUGCCCUAAGGCUACUAGCAAUACCAGUACCCAUGAGGAUCAUUUCUGGAUGAAAUUUGGAGGCUGUGCUGAUAGACCCACUAGAUGGAGAAAUAGUUUCAGUGUAGGGUGACUAAAAUGACAUUGCUUCCCCGACAUGUUGCACAAUGCAUAUUUCAAGCCUGCUGAAGUAUUACCUGUA
Molecule: non-coding RNA, 757 nt
Organism: Coturnix japonica (Japanese quail)
Lineage: Eukaryota; Metazoa; Chordata; Aves; Galliformes; Phasianidae
Source: RefSeq, a predicted model, not a curated record